GGUCGCCUUCCAGGGUGUGGAGCCUUUGUUCUUCUGCUCUUCACAAUAAAUCUUGCUGCUGCUCACUCUUUGGGUCCACGUUGCCUUCAUGAGCUGCAACACUCCCCGUGGAGACCACGAAUGCACAGGGAUGGACGAACAACUCUGGAGACACCACCUUUAUGAACUGUAACACUAACCGCGAAGGUCUGCAGUUUCACGCCUGAAGCCAGUGAGACUACCAACCUACCAGAAGGAAGAAACCUCAGACACACUAUGUUUAAGAACUCUGACACUAACCGUGAGGGUCCACAGCUUCAUUCUUGAACACGUUUUUCAGCACCAGGACAAGCGUAAUUGCUCAAGGAAAGCUUGGUUGACAACAACAGGAAAUUAGAGUCUGAAUUGUAACAAAUGUGGCAAGAGCACCAAGAUCACUGUGUGUUCACAGAAAAUGUACCAAAGGAAGAAGCCUUAAAAACAAAUGGCAGGUGUGUGGGCACCAGAGAAUCAACAUAUCAGGAAGAGACAAACGGCAUGGUUUUAGUGUAAUUGUAAAAAGGGUCACUCUGUUGCCCAGACUGGAGUGCAAUGGUAAGAUUCCUAGUGCUCCGAUGGUCCUCCCACCUAAGCUUCCUGUCCGGGACUACAGAUGUGUGCCACCACAUCUGGCUGAUUUUUAAAUAUUUUUUUGUAGAAAUGAGGUUUCACCGUGUUGCCCGGGCUGGUCUCGAACCCAUGGGCUCAAGCCAUCUGCCUGCCUUGAUCUGCCGGACGUUAGCCUCCCAAAGUGCUAGGAUUACAGGCCUGAGCCACCGCACCUGGUCAUGAUUUUGAAGUUUUCAAAGUGUACUUAAACCUAAAUAAAGGCCUAUGUAUUAU
This is a long non-coding RNA of Piliocolobus tephrosceles (Ugandan red Colobus), 861 nucleotides long. RefSeq lists it as uncharacterized. The transcript has 4 exons. NCBI's taxonomy places the organism in Eukaryota, Metazoa, Chordata, Mammalia, Primates, Cercopithecidae. The record is from RefSeq and is a predicted model, not a curated record.